This is a long non-coding RNA of Oreochromis aureus, 1198 nucleotides long. Lineage: Eukaryota; Metazoa; Chordata; Actinopteri; Cichliformes; Cichlidae. The record is from Ensembl.
GGGUUUGCCAUCUCACAUCAGUGACAUCAAGAGUCAUCAUGAAAUGUGUUUAGCAGAUGUUUUGUGUCUCACUGAGUCUCACCUCCAAGGCUCCUUUGUUGCAGACAGUCUUCAUUUGGACGGCUACACCAUGUUCAAACGCAACAGACAUGUGUCCUACACAAACUUUCCUCACAUGGCCAGCAGAAGUGGUGGUGGAGUUGUUGUGUAUUUGAGGAAUCAUUUUCAGGUUCAGGUAAAACAGUAUCUGCAUAAUGUCACUGAUCUUGAGUUUUUAGUGUUGAAGGUUCAGGCUCCAUUCCCUGCGCUCAUUGCUGUUGUGUACAGACCUCCAGACUACAGUUUGACACCGUUCAUGCAAAACCUGGUAAGUCUUUUAGAUUCACUUGAAAUAAUGGACUGUCACCCAAUAAUUGUGUGUGGAGAUUUUAAUGAGAACCAGUUACAGAGUGGAAGAAAACAGAUUCUGGAGCAGUUUCAGUCGAGAGGGUAUUCACAGCUGAUCACUUCUGCCACUACAGACAAGAACACCUUGCUUGACCUCAUUUUUAUUUCUCAGCCACAGCAAAGUCUUCAUUCAGGUGUCCUGAGAACAUAUUACAGUUACCACAACCCUGUGUUUUGUGUCCUGUCCUUGAGCCAAUCAUGAAGUCGUCUGCUGAAACAACAACAUCUUAACCCCAUCUUCAUGAACUGCUGAGCCAAACCUGAUCCAUCAGUGCUGGACUGCACAGAUAACUACAUGCCACAAGGAGACUGCUGUGUUAUGAACUGCCAUACCAGUGUGUCUUCAAUGGAGAAGAUGACACACCCAUCACCUGACCUCCUGCCUGAUCUGGAGACCAUCAUCAUGCUGCCACACUACACACCUCUGAGACCAUCAAUGAUGACUCAUACUGAGGAAACUGUAUUUCCUGUCAGAGAUGCUCAGUGAUCCUCAGAGCAGAGAGAGGUAUUGCUGUCUUCUGAGUUCUUCAGUGUCCCAACUGAGACAUUCAAACCUCAUUGCAGAGCUCAUGUCUUUCCUCACCAUCAUGUGAGUGUGAGAUUGCUCUGGAUUCUGGUUAUGUGGCCUGCAGCACCUAUAAGAACAAGCUCGUACAGUGUGCCUGCAUUCCAGCUUCACAGAAAAGAAGAUCAGACACCAGCGAGGGAGGAUAAGAAAGACAGACACAACAACAUUGUCAUCCCCUAUGUA